RNAcentral lists this transfer RNA (85 nucleotides) under Prevotellaceae bacterium. RNAcentral's name for it is "tRNA-Leu". It matches the Rfam family "tRNA". From Rfam's summary of the family: Transfer RNA (tRNA) molecules are approximately 80 nucleotides in length. The record is from RNAcentral. Lineage: Bacteria; Pseudomonadati; Bacteroidota; Bacteroidia; Bacteroidales; Prevotellaceae.
GCCCGGAUGGCGGAAUUGGUAGACGCGCUGGUCUCAAACACCAGUGGAUUCAAACUCCGUGUCGGUUCGAUCCCGACUCCGGGUA